Molecule: ribosomal RNA, 498 nt
Filed under: uncultured bacterium
Lineage: Bacteria
Description: partial 16S ribosomal RNA
Rfam family: Bacterial small subunit ribosomal RNA
Source: RNAcentral
AUUGAACGCUGGCGGCAUGCCUUACACAUGCAAGUCGAACGGUAACAGGUCUUCGGAUGCUGACGAGUGGCGAACGGGUGAGUAAUACAUCGGAACGUGCCCGAUCGUGGGGGAUAACGAAGCGAAAGCUUUGCUAAUACCGCAUAAGAUCUACGGAUGAAAGCAGGGGACCGCAAGGCCCUGCGCGAACGGAGCGGCCGAUGGCAGUUUAGGUAGUUGGUGGGAUAAAAGCUUACCAAGCCGACGAGCUGUAGCUGGUCUGAGAGGACGACCAGCCACACUGGGACUGAGACACGGCCCAGACUCCUACGGGAGGCAGCAGUGGGGAAUUUUGGACAAUGGGCGAAAGCCUGAUCCAGCCAUGCCGCGUGCAGGAUGAAGGCCUUCGGGUUGUAACCUGCUUUUGUACGGAACGAAAAGACUCUUUCUAAUAAAGAGGGUCCAUGACGGUACCGUAAGAAUAAACACCGGCUAACUACGUGCCAGCCGCCGCAGUAA